This 435-nucleotide ribosomal RNA is filed under the name uncultured bacterium. RNAcentral's name for it is "bacterial SSU rRNA". It matches the Rfam family "Bacterial small subunit ribosomal RNA", at positions 43 to 524 of the family's 1533-position model. The record is from RNAcentral.
CAGGCCUAACACAUGCAAGUCGAACGAGACCUUCGGGUCUAGUGGCGCACGGGUGCGUAACGCGUGGGAAUCUGCCCUUGGGUUCGGAAUAACAGCGAGAAAUUGCUGCUAAUACCGGAUGAUGACGUAAGUCCAAAGAUUUAUCGCCCAGGGAUGAGCCCGCGUAGGAUUAGCUAGUUGGUGGGGUAAAGGCCUACCAAGGCGACGAUCCUUAGCUGGUCUGAGAGGAUGAUCAGCCACACUGGGACUGAGACACGGCCCAGACUCCUACGGGAGGCAGCAGUGGGGAAUAUUGGACAAUGGGCGAAAGCCUGAUCCAGCAAUGCCGCGUGAGUGAUGAAGGCCCUANGGUUGUAAAGCUCUUUUACCCGGGAUGAUAAUGACAGUACCGGGAGAAUAAGCUCCGGCUAACUCCGUGCCAGCAGCCGCGGUAAU